CCUACGGGAGGCAGCAGUGAGGAAUAUUGGUCAAUGGACGCAAGUCUGAACCAGCCAUGCCGCGUGCAGGAAGACGGCUCUAUGAGUUGUAAACUGCUUUUGUACGAGGGUAAACGCAGAUACGCGUACCUGUCUGAAAGUAUCGUACGAAUAAGGCUCGGCUAACUCCGAGCCAGCAGCCGCGGUAAUACGGAGGAUUCAAGCGUUAGCCGGAUGUAUUGGGUGUAAGGGGUGCGUAGGCGGUGGGAUAAGUUAGAGGUGAAAGCCCGAGGCCCAACUGCGGAAUUGCCUCUGAUACUGUUCGACUAGAGAGUAGUUGCGGUAGGCGGAAUGUAUGGUGUAGCGGUGAAAUGCUUAGAGAUCAUACAGAACACCGAUGGCGAAGGCAGCUGACCAAGCUACUUCUGACGUUGAGGCACGAAAGCGUGGGGAGCAAACAGGAUUAGAUACCCUAGUAGUC
RNAcentral lists this ribosomal RNA (460 nucleotides) under uncultured bacterium. RNAcentral's name for it is "partial 16S ribosomal RNA". It matches the Rfam family "Bacterial small subunit ribosomal RNA", at positions 338 to 795 of the family's 1533-position model. The record is from RNAcentral.